This 74-nucleotide transfer RNA is filed under the name Viverricula indica (small Indian civet). RNAcentral describes it as "tRNA-Gln". It matches the Rfam family "tRNA". Rfam says of the family: Transfer RNA (tRNA) molecules are approximately 80 nucleotides in length. Their secondary structure includes four short double-helical elements and three loops (D, anti-codon, and T loops). Lineage: Eukaryota; Metazoa; Chordata; Mammalia; Carnivora; Viverridae. The record is from RNAcentral.
UUAGGGCAUAGUGUAAUACGGUAGCACGAAGAUUUUUGAAUUCUUAGGAUUAGGUUCAAGUCCUAUAGCUCUAG